GCAUUACUGAGGCGUCCCAUAAUGGGACGAAACGGCCGUCCAAUGC
RNAcentral lists this non-coding RNA (46 nucleotides) under Schistosoma mansoni. Lineage: Eukaryota; Metazoa; Platyhelminthes; Trematoda; Strigeidida; Schistosomatidae. The record is from RNAcentral.